AUCGCUUCCCGGCCUUAUGGCUAAGAUUAAAGUGUAGUAUCUGUUCUUAUCAGCUUAGUAUCUGAUACGAUCCCCAUGUGGGAUCUUCGAUAUUAAACUGAUUUUUGGAUCUUGGCGAAGUGCUGGGGCUUGCCCCACCUUUGCCGCGGAUUGGCCCGGUAUUGCAGUGACUCCGGGAUCGGUCCACUCCCC
RNAcentral lists this small nuclear RNA (192 nucleotides) under Homarus americanus (American lobster). RNAcentral describes it as "U2 spliceosomal RNA". It matches the Rfam family "U2 spliceosomal RNA". From Rfam's summary of the family: U2 is a small nuclear RNA (snRNA) component of the spliceosome (involved in pre-mRNA splicing). The record is from Rfam by way of RNAcentral. Lineage: Eukaryota; Metazoa; Arthropoda; Malacostraca; Decapoda; Nephropidae.